This 631-nucleotide long non-coding RNA is filed under the name Homo sapiens (human). Its description in RNAcentral is "HSALNT0086179". Lineage: Eukaryota; Metazoa; Chordata; Mammalia; Primates; Hominidae. The record is from RNAcentral.
GUGUUAUCAUUUGCUAAAGAUAUGACAAUGUGCUCUUUGCUUGGGUUUGCAGCUAGGAGACCUAGGUGUGUUUUCCCACUUCCCCCAGGAACGCAGCCAGAAAAAGCAAUGACAUCCAGGAGCCAUCUGGGAAUGCUUCCCAGACCUGCUCUAAAUUGGGGCACAGAGCCAGCUGCACACUCCUGAGCUCUGAGCUUUGGAGUUCACCUGGAUUAGACUCACUGCAGAGGGCUUUAUCAUCAAGGAUGAUUUAUCUGGGGUCCCAGCUCUCCAGCUUUUGGAGAGGGCUAGCAGAAACCACUCCACAGAAGAGCCACGCGUUAUUAUGAUUUUAGGCUCCUGGGCUUGGAUACUUUUUUUUAAGGUCUCACACUAUGAAAAGCCAAUUAUGCCUGUUAUAGAUGGCCAAAGAGAAGAAAUCAAUUGAAGAACAACUCACACUCUGUGUUACAAGAAUAAAAUGCAUUAUUGGUCCUCAGUUUUUUGCCAAAUCAAGAAAUCCAGAAGUAAUUCGAAGUCAGGGCAAAAAUAUAAAUGUUCUCUACUUUUGCCAGGACUAAGCAAUUAACUAAAUUGAAUGUGUAUAUUUCCUCCCAUUAUCCUCACCACAACCCUAUAAUGUUAUUGCCAA